This is a small nucleolar RNA of Meriones unguiculatus (Mongolian gerbil), 127 nucleotides long. NCBI's taxonomy places the organism in Eukaryota, Metazoa, Chordata, Mammalia, Rodentia, Muridae. The record is from Ensembl.
CUUGCCCCUGAGACAUGGCAGCUAUGGCUGGUUUGUCACCGGUGUGUCAGCAGAUGGCAGCGAACAGAGACUGUCUAUACCCACUGUUCUGACCUAUGAUCAUUCGAAUGAUUAGUACCCUAACACU